UAUUUCUCACUUUUGGCCUUCCUCAUAACUUGAGGUAGAUUUGAAUUUUUAUCUGUACUUAGCCUCUUUCAUCUUAAAGAAUUUUUAUAGUGAAGGUCUAGUCUACUACCAUGAAUUCUUUUAGCUUUUAUUUACCUGAAAAUGUCUUUAUGUUUUGUUCUUCUCUAAAGUAAAGUGUCUCUGGAUAUUAAAUUUUCAGUUAAAAGUUUUGUUUUUUAGAUACUUCAUAAUGUCAUUCCACCAUCCCUGGCUCGCAUUAGUUUUGAUAUUAGUCAUUGCUUUUUUUAUUGUUCCCAUGUGUGUAAUGUGUCUUUUCUCUCUGGCUGAUUCUUAAAUUUGUUCCUUAUCUUCGGUGUUCAGAAAUGUGAUUAAAAUUUGCCUGGAUGUAGUUUUCUUUGUGUUUCUCUUGUUUGAGUUUUUUUUUUUUUUUUUGAGCUCCUUGGCUUUAUGAGUUGAUAUUUUUCAACAAGUUUGAAAUUUGGGGGGCCAUUAUGUUCUCCCCCAAUAACUCUCUCUUAUCUCUUUUUUAAAGAUUUUAUUAAUUUGAGAGAGACAGAGAAUGCACAAGUGGGGGGGAAGAGCAGAGGGAGAGGGACAAACAGACGCCCCACCUGUUGCAGAGCCCGACAUGGGAUUCAAACCUGGGACCCUGAGAUCAUGACCUGAGCUGAUGUCAGAUGCCUAACUGACUGAGCCACCCAGGUGCCCCUCUCUUUUUUUUUUUAAAUCAAAAUAUUAAAAAAAAUAAAUCAAAAUAUUUACUACUAUGCUUCUUGGUAUUGUGCAACAGGUAUUUUCAUUGAUUUUUUUUUCUUUGGCAGUGUCCAAUCUGCUGUUAAACCCAUCCAGUAAAAUUUUAAUGUCAGAUGUGGUACAUCUAGAGUUCCUAUUUAAUUCUUUCUCACAGUUUGAUAGAGAAACUGAAAUCCCCACAUGUUCUCUCACUGUGGCCACUUUUCUUAAUAUUUAUUUGUAAUGGCUAUUUUAUAACCCUUACCCACUAAUUACAAUAUCUUUGUGAUCUCUGAAUUUGUCUCCUGCUUAUAUCUCAGAUUUCUCUGUUUAUUCACACAUACUAUAACUUUUUUUAAAUGUAUACUUGGCAUCAUGAAUGCUGUCGUUUUUUAAAGUCUGGAUUUGGUUGUCCUCCUAUAAAAAGUACUGGAUUUUAUUUUGGCUAGCAGAUAAAUUUUGGUAGAUCAGCUCGAACUUGUUGAAGCUUGCCUUUAGACUUGCCUAGGGUAAGUCUCUAGUAGCCCUUCCUCUAGGACUAGAGUACUCUAUCCCUCUAUCCCCAGGCAUGCUCUUUUUAGGGUCUCAACUGAAUGACCUAAGUACUGAGCAAAAGCUCUUCUUUUUCGCCAGUUGAAUCUACUAUGUCUCUUCCCUCUUCCAUAUUCCUAGGAGCUGUUCUCUGCUAGACCUCACAGAGUUCCACCCUAUGCCUAUACAGCUUGCAUUUGACCAAAGAAUCAAGAGUUCACCUAUGCAGAUUUCUGAAACUCCUGUUCUGCUCAGGUCACUCUCUCCAGUAAAUUCCGGCCAAUUUAACAAUCCAGAAGUCCAAUCUCUGUUUCCUAAGCAGAGCAAGAUUGCUAUUCACUGUUUGGGUUACACCACUGUGCUAUAGUCUAGAAAGUUCACCGAAGCAGAAAGCAGAGUAAAUAUGGAGUUUACCUCAUGUAUCUCCUCUCAAAGAUCAAAACCCUGUUUUCUCUACUGCCUUAAAUCAGUUGCUUCAUAUAUUUUGUCCAGUUUGAUAGUUGUUUAUGAUAGAAAGGUAAAUCUGAUAGCCAUACUUCUGCCAUGAUCAGAACCAGAAUCUUUAAACUUUUAUGCUUUAAUAUUAUCAAAGAUUUCCUUGAGGAUGCUCUUAAAGGCCCUUGCUAAUCAAUUCUGGUAUCUUUAAUGUGGUUGGUCUCUCCCGUGUAUUUUGGGACAUAGACACCUUUUAGAAUCUAAUGCAAGUUCAAGGAACUUUCUUCAGAAAAAAAAUGUGCAUGGUCUUCAUUUUGUAGAAAAUGCCAGAGAUUCCAUUGAUUCCCUCAAAGCCCAACUGUGAAUCAUUGUUAUCAACAGACUGAGAAUUAAGAAACCCUGCUCGAUAUCCUUUCUGCAGCUAUGAAUAUGUGGUGGUUCUGUUUUGUUUCCAAAAAUGAAAACAAGCUGGUAAUAGCAGCAUAGAAAGUUUAGAUAAAUUUUCUAGAACAUAAAGGGUUUUGGAUACCAGAACAAAUAUAUUUCUGCGCACACCUCAGCAAGUUUAUGAUUCACUUUCUGACCUUAGGAAAAGGUUGAAGAUUUUUCAAAAUCAUUUCCUAAGUGAGCCUAAGCUUUAUAUCUACCAUAUUGUGCCUUCACUUCCACUUAUCUUAUCUGUGAAAAUUGAUCCAAGUGAUUCUUGUAUGGAAAUCAACUGGGGGUUUUUUGGUAAAAAUGGUUGGUCAUUAUAUAGUUAACCUAUUUAAUUAUGUGCUUAUGAGUUCUUCUAUGAAUAAAAAAGGGAAAUGCGUCACUGGGGUGCAGUUAAAAACUUAUCUUCCCAUCAGUUUUGCCAGAAGCUGACUCUGAGAUAAGAACUCAAAUACAAGAAAUGUAUUUUGGAGGUAAUCCCAGGGAACAUUUGAGAUGCAUAGGGAAGUGAGAAAGGACAGGGAAGAAAGCCAAGAAAGAGAUUAUGGUGAAGCAAAUUACUACUUUGGAAAGCUGGGGUUUAAUCCCACUGGAAAGCUCUGGGAGCCAGUGUAAAACAAUCCUCAGAAACCUCACAUCCAAGGGGCAAAAGAGCUGGGUUAUCUAUCCACCAAUUCCCACUAGGUAGUGGUUGAAGGCUGCCCCCAGAGAGUGUUUAUUAUAUGGCAUGUCAGGCCUACUGUAUGUGGGUAGACAGAGGGAUUUGGUGGCCAGAGAGAUCCUUGAAAGAUCACAGGUGCUGGCAGUUGAAAGGCAAGCUGUCACACACAUACAUCAGUGCUGAGGGAAUGUGUAUAGGGCAGUAACAGCAGCUGCUAUCCCCUUCAAGCCAAAACAAUAACUAGCGCUGAUGACACUUAGAGUAAAUAGCCAUGUUUUCCCCCAUUUGAUAGUUUGAUUUUGUUCUGUGAGAUGAUGGAUGCCUCUCUUGGAGCCCCAAAGACUUGGUAUCUGUCAAACAGCAUACGCUUUCUAAUAUAUAUCAUAUUCAGAAAAUAAUGUUCAAAUUUGCUGAUUUGCUUUGGUUUCUAUAUUACUUCCCUCUGGCUAUGGCAGCUAGAGCAUCAUCAGAACAUGUUUUAAUAAUAAACAAAUAAAAGUCCCUGCCAAAUGUAAUUAAUUUUCUCUCCUAUGAAUUUUUUUUCUGGGGUGAGGUCACCAUAGGAUUCUACAUGACAAGGAAAAUGAAUGUAGUCUUUUGGUAACUGAUUUAGUUCAUCCUGUAAAUUGAAAUCUAGAGUAACUUCAGAGGGAAAAUGUUUUCUUGGUACGCUUUGCUUCGUUUGAAAUAGCUACUUAAUAAUGGUUAGUGCUCUUUGAGUGCCAGGCUCUGUUCUAAGUCCUUUGUGUAUAUUAAUUCACAUAAGAUUCAUACAGCCCUAGGAGGAAUAUAUUAUCAUCAGUCAUAUAUUAUAACUAAAGACAAAGAGUCAGGAAAAACUACUUUCUUUACCUGGUAAGGUCACAAAAAUGUUAAGUAGAAAAUUCUAGAAUUGGGGCACCUGGGUGUCUCAGUUGGUUAAGCAUCUGACUCUUGGUUUUGGUCAUGACCUCAUGAGUUGUGGGAUAUAUCUGGGCUCAUCACUCAGCGAGGAGUCUGCUUGAAAGAUUCUCUCCCUCUGCCACUCCCCCUAACUCACAUGCUCGCUCGCUCUCUCUCUCUUUCUCUCUCUCUCAAAAUAAAUCUUAACAAAAAAAAA
This 3893-nucleotide long non-coding RNA is filed under the name Canis lupus familiaris (dog). RNAcentral's name for it is "lncRNA (ENSCAFG00000051844.1)". Lineage: Eukaryota; Metazoa; Chordata; Mammalia; Carnivora; Canidae. The record is from RNAcentral.